This is a long non-coding RNA of Rhea pennata, 880 nucleotides long. RefSeq lists it as uncharacterized. NCBI's taxonomy places the organism in Eukaryota, Metazoa, Chordata, Aves, Rheiformes, Rheidae. The transcript has 3 exons. The record is from RefSeq and is a predicted model, not a curated record.
GGUGCCGAGUGCGUCAGCUUUCCCGGACUUGCGUGGGAGUCGAAGGAGCCCGAGCUUCACGGGAGAAGGUCGCGGGGAGCUCCCGACUCUGGCCGACGGCGGGGAAAAGCGGAGAGGUCCGAGGGAGAGGCAGCGCUGCCAGCUCGUGAUUUUAUCGUCAGUCUCACAACGCUGGAUGCAAAUUUUAAAGCCCCAGCUGGUGGAGUCACGCCAUGCGCGAGAGCUUGGCUUGCGUUGAAAAGCAGGUUGAAGGUGUGAUGUUACGAGGAGCCCGCUGCUCUCCACAGUAGGAAUACCAGCACCGCCUUGAUAUACUGCGUGUGGGGGAUAAAUACAUUAAAGCUGUGUGAGUCGCUCAGAUACUGUGCUAACACUGGCCAUAAAAAUCACCUUAGAUAUAAGGCAAGCUCCUUGGGGAAGGGACUAAGUGCACUCAACGAGUAAUGAAGAGAAAUAAAAAUAAAUAUCAAAUGGCCCAUAAAAUAAAACAAUAAUGGUAACUAAAAAGUUCCUGGAUCUGUUGUGAGAGAUAAAAUCCCAUCAGCAGUAUGAAAUAACAAGAAAUACUCCCCUUUGGUUCUUUCUCCGCAUGACACAAGUCAGCACGCCUGGUCACAAGAGUAGUUAUGGAAAACAUCUUCCUUCCAGCAUCUUAUAAAUGUGUUUUUCAUGCUUGGAGAGACCUUGCGGGGUUCAAUUUAACUGGGAUCUGGGGAACACGUGAAAGGCAUUUACAGCAUGCGGCACAGUCUGGUUUUUCCUGCCGGGGAAGCAGAGGUGUAAUGUUCAUAGCUCCCAUCCACCGAGCCGCCCGGCUCCUCGGGAAAGCGCCGCGCAGCCCCCGCCGCGAGGCCUGCAGCUAGCGGCCAGCCCGGCCGGA